This 463-nucleotide ribosomal RNA is filed under the name uncultured archaeon. RNAcentral describes it as "bacterial SSU rRNA". It matches the Rfam family "Archaeal small subunit ribosomal RNA", at positions 19 to 458 of the family's 1478-position model. The record is from RNAcentral.
GGACCCGACUGCUAUCGGAUUGAGAUUUAGCCAUGCGAGUCGAACGUCCCCCUGUUGCGGGGGGCGUGGCGUACGGCUCAGUAACACGUAGUCAACCUGCCCUGGAGGCACGGACAACCCCGGGAAACUGGGACUAAUCCGUGAUAGGUCACCUCAUCUGGAAGGAGAGAUGGCCCAAAGGGGCGCGCGGGCUUCUUCUGCGCGUUCGCUCCAGGAUGGGACUGCGACCGAUCAGGCUGUUGGCGGGGUAAAGGCCCACCAAACCUGUAACCGGUACGGGCCUUGAGAGAGGUGGCCCGGAGAUGGACACUGAGAAAAGGGUCCAGGUCCUACGGGGCGCAGCAGGCGCGAAACCUUCGCAAUGCGCGAAAGCGUGACGAGGUUAAUCCGAGUGAUUUCCGCUGAGGAGACCUUUUGUCGGCUGUAAAUAGGCCGGCGAAUAAGGGGAGGGCAAGCCUGGUGU